UCCCUGGUGGCUCAGAUGGUAAAGAAUCUGCCUGUAAUGCAGGAGGCCCAGGUUCGAUCCCUGGGUUGGGAU
Cervus elaphus (red deer) is the source of this 72-nucleotide non-coding RNA. The record is from the annotation of a RefSeq genome assembly. Lineage: Eukaryota; Metazoa; Chordata; Mammalia; Artiodactyla; Cervidae.